AUACCCAUAGCUUAAUUGAGGGAGCAUUUGCCUUCUAAGCAAAGGGUUGUAGGUUUGAAUCCUAUUGGGUAUU
RNAcentral lists this transfer RNA (73 nucleotides) under Agelas schmidtii (Pipes of Pan sponge). Its description in RNAcentral is "tRNA-Arg". It matches the Rfam family "tRNA". From Rfam's summary of the family: Transfer RNA (tRNA) molecules are approximately 80 nucleotides in length. Their secondary structure includes four short double-helical elements and three loops (D, anti-codon, and T loops). The record is from RNAcentral. Lineage: Eukaryota; Metazoa; Porifera; Demospongiae; Agelasida; Agelasidae.